RNAcentral lists this ribosomal RNA (253 nucleotides) under uncultured bacterium. RNAcentral describes it as "partial 16S ribosomal RNA". It matches the Rfam family "Bacterial small subunit ribosomal RNA", at positions 524 to 776 of the family's 1533-position model. The record is from RNAcentral.
UACGGAGGGGACUAGCGUUGUUCGGAAUUACUGGGCGUAAAGCGCACGUAGGCGGAUUUUUAAGUCAGGGGUGAAAUCCCGGGGCUCAACCCCGGAACUGCCUUUGAUACUGGAAGUCUUGAGUAUGGUAGAGGUGAGUGGAAUUCCGAGUGUAGAGGUGAAAUUCGUAGAUAUCUGGAGGAACACCGGUGGCGAAGGCGGCAUCCUGGACCGGCAUUGACGCUGAGGCGCGAAAGCCAGGGGAGCAAACGGG